Molecule: long non-coding RNA, 957 nt
Organism: Lotus japonicus
Lineage: Eukaryota; Viridiplantae; Streptophyta; Magnoliopsida; Fabales; Fabaceae
Exons: 2
Source: RefSeq, a predicted model, not a curated record
GUAAAAAGAUAGUAAUAAAAAAACCAAAGUGCAAUUUGCACCUCUGCCAAUGACAUGACCUUGCUUUUUAAUAUCAAAUGAUAAAACCUGCUACACGUUACCAUCUAUGCAAAGCCUAAAAAGUCUAUCAAUUACCAUCAUUUCCCUAGGCUACUUUAUCUCAUCUCCUUAAUUACUCAAGCCUUACCCAAAUAAUACUCUCCCAAGCUUCAAUUUAGCCAACCGUUCCCAACCCUCAAACAUAAUGAAAGAAGACAGAAACUUCACUCCACUGUCAUACUAGCAGUAGCAGCGCCGCACACUCUGUUGUUGUCCCGCGGCGUGCGACGCCUCAACCUUGCACGGCGACGGCGACACUCCCCAAACAACACUCGACAAGACCACCGCGAACCAAAUCCUACUUCUUCUUCGACCAAAGGUUGUUCUGUUCGUCUUCGAUUGAAGCCCUCUCUUUGUUCAGCUCAUCUUCGAUUAGAGGCUCGCAAGAUCAAAGCUUUUUGUCAGAUAGACACUGAGAGCAAGGACUGCUGAUCUUUUUUGUUUGGGAUGGAGAAACCGCCCCAAACCGCCCGUGUAACCCGUCACCGACGUGGCCCGAACCCGAAGAACUCGUUAUCAACUACGGUCGGUCACGGAUCUGGUUUUUAACAUCUUGGUUUUGGUCGGUUUGGCCAAAAUGGGCCCGAAAUCGACCGUAACCGCUCGCUGCUCAACCUUAGGUGCGGUGGCUGAAAUCUAUGGUGUAAUUAGCGAUGACAGAUCCAAAAUUCUUGAGUUGUGGGAGAACUAUACAUACAAAAGUUGUUCAAUGUGAGAAAAAGAUUGUUUGUGGAAAAUGGAUGCCACCAAAAUUGAUUAUUGUCACAAAAACAAAAAAGAUAAAUUAUUAGCAUUAAAAUUCACUCAAAUUUGUCAAUUUCAUCAAUGUGAUCAGGACUAAUUAACAUACAAUUUAUU